Molecule: long non-coding RNA, 282 nt
Filed under: Phoenix dactylifera (date palm)
Lineage: Eukaryota; Viridiplantae; Streptophyta; Magnoliopsida; Arecales; Arecaceae
Description: long non-coding RNA (PDAC_LNC021349)
Source: RNAcentral
GUCUUCUUUAGGACAAAAGGAUUAGAAGUAAUUUUAGAAGGUUAAAGAAAAAUAGAAAGAAAGGAAAGCAAGCCAUUAGAGUUCUUUAAGAAUUCUGCAUUAAGGAUCAAAGUCUUUGGAGCUUAAGACUUAAAUCAAGUUUUCGUGUGGAUCAACGUUGGAGGGUGAACACUUGGGCACCUAGUGGAAAUUCUGCAUAUUGGAUUAGCGUUAGAGGUAUUCUUCUAUUUCUGCAUUUAUAUUAUAUUAUUUGAUUGCUUCCAUUAAGGUGAUCUUGGCUUA